GGAAGCGUUUCUGCGGCUGGUGCCCGGCCCGGACUUCAAAUCCGGUGGGGGGUGUGGCGACACGUCCCCGGCGGGUUCGAUUCCCGUCCGCUUCCGCCA
Molecule: transfer RNA, 99 nt
Filed under: Deltaproteobacteria bacterium
Lineage: Bacteria; Pseudomonadati; Myxococcota; Myxococcia
Also listed under: 3 other names
Description: tRNA-Sec
Rfam family: Selenocysteine transfer RNA
Source: RNAcentral